RNAcentral lists this long non-coding RNA (30025 nucleotides) under Eucalyptus grandis. Its description in RNAcentral is "long non-coding RNA (EGRA_LNC005270)". Lineage: Eukaryota; Viridiplantae; Streptophyta; Magnoliopsida; Myrtales; Myrtaceae. The record is from RNAcentral.
ACAGAUCCAGGAGAGAUGUCGACGAUGGGUCCAGAAGAGGUGACAGAAGCGGAAGGAGGAGGAGGAGAGAUGUCGAUGAGGGGUCCGGAAGAAGACAGGGAUGCGAUGAUAGCGGAGGCCAAGCGGUUCGUGGAGAACUACUACAGCACGUUCGACGCGAACAGGGAGGGCUUGGUGAACCUGUACCGGCAACGAUCGGUGCUGAAAAUCGAGGGCCGGAAGAUCCAGGGCAAGGAGGCUAUCCUCGCCAAACUCAUCUCCCUUCCGCAGCCGUGCCACCACGAAUUCCCCGAGAUCAGUUGCUGCACCUAUCGCUUGGCACCCGCAUCGGCAUCGGUCGCCGUGCGCGUCCUGGUCCGCGGCGGGACGUGGUUAGGCGGCAAGAAGGAGGAGGCGGACGCCGCCCUUAUACAGCAGGUCUCUCUCGUUCUCUCUAAGUUAUUAUUUCUUGUCAACGCUUUGCAAUUUCUCUUAUCGAUCAAUCCGUUAAUCAAUCGCAUCGCGCAUAAAUACCGAGAGUACAUCUCAAGCUCCUUGUCUAACGCUCUGGCUGGCUCUGAUUCUUAACCUUCAGAGCUUCAAUCUGGUGCCAGCACGAGGAGGAAGCUUUUACAUAGCUCGACAAUCUGGGAUGCUCUUUGAUCUCAAGAAGCCUCGGUCCGGGGGUCUGUCCUACUGGCUACCGAAACCUCCCUGCUCGGCAGCGCCCUUUCUUGGCCCGUUAUAUCAAAUCCUAUCCUCGGCAUACCCGCCGACGUCGGCUGCCACGGCACCGAGUACGCCUCCGCAUUUCGAACGCCUCAGCAUUUCGAAUCCGAAUGCCACCCAUGAUGAAACUUCCUCCGUCUCUACAGAGACCUGAUGAUAAAACUGUUUUACUUUCAAUGUUCUAGACUCUUGUUUUAUUUUCAAUGUUUUGUUGCACUACUUUUGUGAAUACGUAUUGGAUUCAUGUUCGAAUCCAAGUUCAGCAUAUGUCAUACUGCUCUUAUGAACUGAACUCAGUGGCAGGGCCUUCUAAUUCUCGUGGUAAUAUACUUAAUGCUUCAUGACAUUAGCAGUGAGGAUGUUAAUAUGAUGGACAUACAUGAUGGUGGCGCAAUACCUCGCCCAUGCUUCUAGAGGAAAUAACUUUUCUUUUAACAUACAAGUUUUAUUUCAUGACUUUAAUAUAGUACAGAUAAUCAUGAGUUAAGAUAAAAAUAAAUAGGGAGCAAUUUACAUUUUGGCCGCCAUCGGCGAAAUGGAAGGUAGACAGAUGACUCUAGGACUAGAAUAUUAUAGUAAAUACUUUGUAUCCCUAGUAUUGUUUUAUGUCCGUAUAAAUUGAACCCGACUCAUUCAGCACGAAACACUCUCAAUAGAAUUCCUAACACCAACUCGCGACACCUAAAAGACUAGGAUUGCCGACUUAUAGUCAUCUGACAAAACCAGGAUUUGAGAACCUCUGCCCAUAUAGGCAAAGGCAUUUGGAACAAUUCUGACAAAAUCAGGAUUUGAGAACCUUUGCCCAUAUAGGCAAAAGCAUUCGACAAAACCCGGAUUUGAGAACCUCUGCCUAUAUAGGCAAAGGCAUUUGAAACAAUUAUGACAAAAUCAGGAUUUGAGAACCUCCGCCCAUAUAGGCAAAAGCAUUCAGAACAAUUCUACUUCACCUUGCCGAGAUCUCUCUCUCUCUCUCUCUCUCUCUCUCUCUCUCUCUCUCUCCUCAUGUCAGCCACUACCCGGUGACAACUUAAACACAUGGAACCAAAAAUAUUGGCCCCCGAGGUCUCCGUGAAUUCUUUCAACUUUGUUCAUGCGCAUACCACUUGCAGUUCAGGUGCCUAAAGUAUUAGAAAAAACCAAAUCAAAUAAUCCUUGCCAGUCAAACUGGCUGAUAGAUAAUGCACUUGAAGGAUCCAUGAAGACCCACGAAGACCAUAUAAACCAUCAUUCGAUAUUGCCUUGACACAAAUUAUGGGAGGGUAGAGUGGCUUGACAGCCUCUGCAACAGAAGGACGACAAUACUGACUUUCAGACAACCCACCUUUUAGCAAAGUUGGGCGACAACCAUGGACCUGCUCAGCCCUCAAAUAUGCCCUAGCACUCCUUGGAGUAGACAAUUGCCCAUCAAUGAAUGCACGAAAGAAGUGAUACUGUAAAACAAAUCGAGGACAAAAACUUCAUGAACAUUUACUGGCUCAACGUGGCUGUUUAUUAUUUUUCCACCGAUUUUAUUGAUAACUGUCAAGAUUGUUGAGAGAAACAACAACAAAUUCAGGUAGCGGGUGUAUCGGGGAGCACAUUACACAAUGGACUUGAUCAUUUUCAUCCUCUGCUGGAGGGGGGAGAUUUCUUAGCCUCAGAUGGUUUGUCGAUGCCACAAUCAUGUUUGUUACACUUUGUCCGGAAUGAAUAAUUUACGUUACUGCAUUGCUCACACUUCCAACUACUCUCUGGCAUUUUUGUUUUGAAAGUCACUUUAUAAAUGAGUACCAAUAUAGACGAAUACGAGGCAAGCAACACGGCCAGUAGUGAUAACUUACUAUAGUUCUUUUCAGAGUUUGAAACCUGCAGUUGAAGAGCAUAAAAAUCUGUUAAUUUAAACCAAUAAGCACUCUUCAGCUGAAACAAAUUGGCUAGAGCAAAGUUAUAGCUCCGGAAUACGAUAAACACAUGAAAGAAAGCCACAAAGUUUAAUCUCCUCAAGCUGCUAAAUUGUUUGCCAAAGCAACACCGACCCAUGAUUCAGGCUUUGGAGCAUUGCACUCUUCACACCGUUCUAAAAGAGAAGUAAACAUUUCCACAAUCCGGGCACGUCCGAUCAUUAUCGCGUGUUGCAUCUACAACGUAUUUCAAGGAAAUCUAAUGUCAGUUGGAGAUAAACCGGUAUUCUUAUUGUUAAUUCUAAAAGCAAUCACCAGCACAUGGAAUACCAACCUGCCCCCUUCUUUUGAAGUUUAUCACCGGGGAAAAAUCCCGGCCGUGGUCCCUGGGAGAAUAAAUGCCAAAACAAUGACAUGCAGAAUAUCUGAAAUAGUGAAAAGGAAAAAGCAGCAACAUCCAAAGACAGAGAAAUUUCACAUAGAUCAUGCCACCGAACCCAUCGGAAGCCCCAGCCAUAUCUGUCCAUCAUAGGAGGCAUCCCAUACAUUCCACCUGAACCGAAUCCCUUAUGGGUCGUUUUUGUCAUAUGUUUCUUUUUUAAUUAUUCUUUUGCCAUUUGUCUCGUGUGUUUUCUUGCACUGUUGGUAUAGGUAUGUAAUACAGAUGCUUCCCUUACUGUUGGUAUCUAGUCAUAUAUAGUUUAAUGAACGAAAUCUCAAAUAAUUGGUAAAUCAUUGAAGGAAUGAUGAUUAUAUUAUGUCGGUAGUCUAAUACGCAAUAUAAUAGUCGGCAAUAUGCACCCGCUAUUUUGGGAUAGUGAUCUAAAUUUUCAUAAUCUCAUAUUAUACAACUCGUGAUGUGCUAUAAUCUUGAUUUCAAAUUAUAUCAAUCAAUGCUCGAAUUUCAAAUGCAAUUACUAUUUCAACUAUGCUGUUAAUUAUGUAAUAAAAAUAAAUUUAAUAGCAUAUUAUAUGACUAAGUACAGCCUAUUACCUUAAAUUAUUUAUUUAAUUUUACAUACCGAAUAGCGAUUUUUUGAUGAUAUAUAUAGAGUACUACACUCGCGAUCGAUAUUAGGUAAUAACUACCGUGACAUAGUAUUUGCUUUGAUGCAAUCCCACGUCAUACGCUUAACUUUUGAUCAUAAUCAAUAACUAAAUUAUUAAAAGUAUAAAUAAACAUUUGAUAGAACAUAUUGUGUAUACAAUAAUUUAUAUACAAUAAUUUAUAUAGGAAGCUAAACUCAUGAGUCAAAAUUAAUUUUGAUAUUCCUUCAAAUCUUGAUUUUAGGGAAGUAUUUUUAGAUUUCUGUUCUAUUUGGACCUGGAAGAGUUUAAUCGAAACGGGAGUAGUCGCAGGUAGAAUGCUUCCUGAUGCGGCCUUUUUGGGUUUGGCCCGUUUUGGGUGGGUGGGGAGGGGCAGAGUCGUGACUGAGUUGAGCCGCUUAGGGGCUAUUUGGGCUCUACUUAUUAAUCAAUCAUCAGAGCAUGAGCCUCUGGACUCAUGAUCACCACGUAAGCAGAAACCAUCUCAAGACAGAAAGAAAACCAGAUAGAGCUUGACGACAUUAGCUCAUAUGUGAAAGAACAGAGUCUAAUCCCCAUCGGAGGUUCCAUUUUAGCCAGGAUAGAACUUAAGCUCAACAGGUUGACAUUUAGGCAAGAGAUGAAGGAGAUGAGCAACCAUCUGUGGUAAGGGCUUGCAAGAAGCAAGAGACUCCAAGGACAAAUGGAAAAAGGGGUACUAAAAAAUUAAGAGAAUAGUUGGCUAGGAAAGGUCUCAUGAUGAUAAGAGAGGACAUAGACUUCUCCUUAAGUAUCAUGCGGAAGAAGCUAAAUAAUAUAAAGUGGCACCUGAGAAUAGACUCUUAACUUUACAAGUGACAUUCUAUCAUUCAGACCACCUGCUGUUAACAGAGGAGGAUUUAACUGUAUCAUGACAUAGAACAAAACAAAGCUACAAAAGUAAGCUAGACAGCUCCAGAUCUACCUAUCAAGAUUUCAAACUCAAGCGACUCCUCGACAAUGUUUUCUAGAACUCGAUGAUUUUUCUGUAACAUUCCCUUUGCUUUGCGACAAGCCAAAUAGUACAUCUGCGAAACAAGGAUCCAUCAAAGAAUCUUGCACUCGACCAGAGAUUUGCGGCUCUUUCAAUUUGGACUAUUGAAUAAUAGUAAGCCAGACAAAGCCUCAUAGCAACGGACAAAUGCCUUUUCGACUUUAGCAUGGUUGUUCCCCAUGCUCAAAGCUGUAACCUAGAGAAAUAGAAACGUACAAACAGAAUUAAGGUAAAGCGCAUCAAAGAUUCCCAGCUGGAACAUGAAGCUUCAAUACAUAACAGCGUCGAGAAUGAUCCGCAUUUGUCCAUUUCACAAUCAUAAAGUGCAUGCAAAAUGGACCGGAGAAGUACUGCACUACUGUGAUAGUAAAUUGCAGGACUGUCUCCGCCGGUACUUGUGGAUUCAAUCGUGCAAGAAGGGGGGACACCAUUUGCUUCUCAUCAAGCCCCCAACCGUACUGAAUGACCAUUCCUGUCGCCAUCCGUCACAGGUUAUGUAUCUUAAUAUAUAUGUCUACAUGUAUUCACCUUUCGCUGUGAGAGUUUUCUCAUGAAAGGUAAUCUAAGGUAGAGAACAUCGACAAACUUCUCAAAGCAUAAUGUUACAGGACCAACCUCUUGAGUUUGCUUCAGUUCGGAAGAAGAGAGAAAAUUCUUCCCCGGGAGGAAGUAGAAGCUGUGAAGCAACAUCCAAACCAAAGCAAAAUACAAGCUACUUUUCAAGGUAUGAUCUUAGUUCUGAGUUAGCAUUAACAGAGCCUUCACUCCGUGCCUCGGUGAUCUUUGUACAGCCAAUUCCCUGCAAGAAAGGGGUCAAAGUGAACGUCUUUAUAAGACCAAGGGCUCUAAAAUCCCAUAAGGCAUGCAUCUGCAAAUAACUUCUCCUGCGAAGAGGAGAACAAGAACAACCCAGGACACAUGUGGAUACGCUCAAUGUAGCACAAUGAUUAAAUUAAAUCUGCCAAAAUGCUCCAAUGACAGAUAAAGCCAUAAAUAGACAUCUCACGUCAUUGUGUUCGACUGUUUUGAUAUCCCGUUUCAUAUUAAACUCUUGAUCCUUAGAUACGACGGCAAGGAUCAUGGCCAACAAAAGCAUGGGACUGAUUCACUGAGUGCCCAGAUAAAGAAGGUAAUUUAUCAUUUCAAUAGCAUGAAUGGAUGACAGUACCACUGAAUGAAAAGUUCGAUAACGAACAACAUGCCAAUGCACAUAGCUUGUAAAGUGCCAGAAGGAAAAAGCACAAAAAAGAUUGAAAUGGCGAGCUGACAUCCAUGAAGGAUGACAUUCCCUGUUCAGCAGUAGAACAGGACCCCUAAAAUAGGAAUAAGGCUCUUGCAGGUACUUGCUCAUAAGCUUAAUAAGGCGCAUGCUAUUUCAUUACAAGAAAGAAAAAGAGGACAAUAACCUGCCACGAAGAUGGUUCAAGCCACAAAUUGUCGACUACAUCAAAGUUUGAUAGUCAAAGAGCUAUAAGGCCAUGACCAGCUGCCCAAACAGCAUGAGGGAACUUGGUUUCCUCUGUCCACUUUCAAAUCAUCCAUAUUAUGCAAGUCGCCUCGAAGAAACCAACGGAACUUGUACGCAUAAUGAUAUCAUCGUUUGUUCGCCGGUCUGGGUAUAUCAAGUUAGCUAAAUUUUUAGAACAAUGAUUCGUAUCUGAUAACCCUACCACCUUCUAUUUUUAACCACUGAAUUUGUUGUACUCCCGAUUCUUUAGAGUGCGCAAAAAAUAAAACAGCAGAAAUUUAUAGAUUAGAAUUUUGUCAAUUUUUAGAAUUGUUCGGAAGACAAUAGCCCGGGAUAGUCCAACAAACUAAUAGUAAGCAUCAAGGAGAAUUAAUUGAGCAUAACUCCAUUGUUUAUUUGGCCGUACGGUUCAAUUAGAUCAACGACAUUCUGUGAGUCCUCCUCAGUCAAUGUCAGCCCCAGAUGAUUCACCAGCAUUCGGCUAAUCUGCCUCACAACUUUCGUUUGCCGAAUCCAUUUAGGAACCAUAUUGCUCAAGGCCUAUGCAAAAUAAUGAGCGAAUAAUAUGCAUAUGGUAUAAAAUAUAUCACAUAAUGGGUAACCGCUCCAACCUCCAAAACUUCCAUUUUUACUCUCCUCCGAGAAUGAGAUUAGAGCACAAAGUCCCGGUGCUUAUUGGUUUUAGCAAAGAGAAAAUGAUCGAUUCAAGCAGAACUGAAUUUUGCUUCCCCUUACUCUUCGUCAAUUAUAAUUUAUUUUCCCUUUCCGCUGAACAAAAGAAAAAGGGACAUGCAGCCAGUUCCAUGGACCCCCGGGAAUCGGAUCGGGCAAAUCCGAAUCCAAAGCCGAAUAGGUUGGUUCCCAAUUUCACAAACUAGGACCCAGCCCCGUCUGGUCAAGUUCCCGGUUCCGGAGUGGGCCAAUUUAGCUCAGAAUCUACCCAUAAUCGGGUUCAAACAGUUCAGAGAAAAUUCAAAAUAACUUGGAAUUACCACCGCUCAAAGUUAGAAAAUCAAUCGUCAAAAAAAGUUAAAAAAUCAACAUCCCACUGAGAACCUUUCAGAUCAUCAUGUAACGUCAACUGAAAAUACAUUAGAUCAGAUCUAACGUAUUGUCUUCACUGACAUGUGCCGACUUUUGCCAACAAAUUGGAAGACGUUUAAUCCCCUUAAUCCCCUCGAUUUCUUCCUCGAUUCAAAAAUCUUCAAUCGGAAUUUAACUUUAUCAAUUCGCAAAGUUUCCAAAUCCAAUGGGGUGUCGGAACUUGUUCGGAGGUCUUGUGAGCAUGCAUCAAUCCCCGUUAGAUAUCAGAAUGAGGAGUCCAACAAGAGAAUACAGCUGAAAUCCAAGCGCCUCAAUUCUCAAGUCAAAUAUAAGCUAUCCAGAACUGCAAAUCCACCAGCGACUCCACCUUCAUGUGAUGAUGAUAUCUUUGUUCUCAUUAAAUAACCACACUGUUCAUUUACGAUGACAUUCUCUUUCUUCCUGGUAAGAUCAAUCUCAGAUUACCAUGAGCACAUCAAAUGCAUUUACAAACAUUGUCGCUGAAUUCACUAGUGCUAACACGUGCGAACAACGGUGCUGUAGAAGGCAUGAAAUAAAUUAAAAAAAGAAGCUUUGGUUAUCAGAUUUUCCCAUCCGACUCCAACUGCAAAGAUUAAAUUCCAAGUCAUUGAUUUUAAUUAAUCCGAGAUCACAUCCAUCAAACUAAUGAGAGAUGGAGCGACAUCAAAAAAUUACCUCACAUAAGCACCAUAUACCCCGAGUUCUGACAUGGCGUGAUCUUUAUAACAAAUGCCAUCACGAAUGAGAGUUGUGGGAGAAAUGGACGGAAAAAUUCUUUGCAUAAGGAUAUAGGCAGCAUCCUCCUCACUACCUUCACGUUGCAGCCUUAAUAGGGUUUCUCUCACGUCGUCGCCAUAGAUGUUGUUCCCUAAAGAGAGAAAUGACUUCAUUUUAGAAAGAAGAUAGCGCGGCUUAUAACAAAGCAAUCCUUGAAUAAUAUAAUCAAGGUGAGAGAUAAUUACCUCCCCCUUCCCUCUGGGGCUUCAUGACAAAUAGCUCGGGACUUUCAAUUGCUUUACCAACAAUAUGAGGGUCUUCUAAGCUCCAUAAACCUGCAAAGGAUUUCUGGAUCUCGGCAAUGUCUUCUUUGUUCUCAAGGAAUCUGAUAUAUGCACCAAUGGAGUCUCGUAAGUGAUCAAACACGUAGGAGAUAGAGUCUAUUCGACAGUGCAUCUUCUCCUGUAAUUAAAUUGACUUCUAAUGUUCCCAUCGAUAUGUUAUCGAGACUGUUCGGUAAGACAUAUGAAAGGAGCUAAAAUGGCCAUUUGGUAUUAAAAGUAGUCCUUAAUUCGCAGUCCUGGGUGCCAUUGAUUACAUCUAAGCUUCAAACUCAACUAAACAUCAUCAUAUUAGCUAUUGUUGUAUGCAUAGCACACAUCUAUAUACAUUUGUGCUUCAGGAGUUUUUCCAGGAAUGGUACGAUUCCAUAUAAAGCACAGAGCAUCCAGCGCCGCUGCUGGUGGCGCUGUCCUGCCUUCCUCCAUAUCCGGGAGCCCCACCUCCUCCAGUACCGCCUCCAGUAGUGCCUGUGCCCGGGAUCGGUCCUCCUCCAACUCCUCCGCUGCCUGUCCUUCAUCCAUGGCAUCUGGUUCCGUACGGAAGACGGAAAAUACAAGGGUUGCUCCCUGCUGUGCUGUCAUUUGCAGAAUAAAACUCUAGAGCAAAACACAAAUCAGUAUUCUUCCUAUUCCCAAAAAAAAGACAGCAAAAGAAAAGAGAAUACAUGGUUGAAGUUGUAUGGUAGCACAACUUCCUCUUCCCUCCCAUACUGUCCACCAAAGGAGGCGUAGAUGCGUUGAGCGACGUGGUCAACGAACGCAUCGAACUCAUCCAAAUUGAACUUGAAACUAUCCAAGCCGUUCACAAAUGCAGCAAUGGCGUCUGGGGUCCCAAGACGGACCCCAUCAAAAUCCAUGCUCGCUUCAUCAUAAAAGCUUAUCAGCUCUUGCCUAUCUGUUUCCAAAGAAAGAUGGUAUAAUGUACCCCAUUCUGCCGCCAGGUCUUUGAGUCCUUCAUCAUCCAUACCUCUGUUCUGUUCAAGAACAACAGGUGCAACCAACAUACGCAUAAAGAAAAAAAGGAAAAAAAAAAUGGCAGAGCUCGACCUCAUUUCCACAUACUGACCUGUCGACGACGCUCGAAGGGAAAAAGACGGUGGAGCCUCACCGCGAUCGCCGUCCGACGUUUGCAGAGAUUCGACGACGAAAUGAGAGAGCGGGGCGGUAUUCUGUUUAGGAUGACCGAGAAAUGGGUUUUCUCUUCCACCAAUCAGAGUUUUAAAUUUGGGAAAACACGUUUCGCGACGUCGUUUAUACUAUGUAUGCGGAGUUAGAGCAUGGGUGAGCCAAGUCAGAUUGAAAAAAAAAAAAAAAUUGAUAAAAUAUUACUUAUUUUGAAUUUUCAACUAUUCAAAUCAAAGUUAACACUUGAAGUGAAUCAAUAAAGCUACAUCUACCACCACCGCCCGGCCACCAAUCUUUCCUUACACGAGAUACGAGAUUCGAGAUUGGACAGGAUAAUUCCUACUCGCCGACAUUAGACAACUCUCAAAUGGAUGAACUGGCAUUGGAUAGAGCCGUCUGAUUGGGGCAUUUUUCUGCUUCUAGGGUUUGUGUGUGGAAAUCGAACUUACUUAAAUUGUGAAGAUGUUUAAACCAAUUCGAAUUUUGUGAAAGAUAUUUCUGCUUCUAGGAUUUGUGUGUGUGGAAAUCAAACUUACUUAAAUUGUGAAGAUGUUUAAACCAAUUCGAAUUUGUGAAAAACACGUACACAUCAGCAUUCAAAGCCCCCCUCAAAUUUAGUCGGGAUAUUUCUAUUAAUCAAGAUAAUAUAUAUAAUGAUUUCCCAACAAUAGUCAUAAAACUUAUUAUAAGGAUACCAAUUCAGUCUAAAAUUUUUCAAUUUGGUUAAUUCAGUCCUAACCUUUUAUUAAGAUUUGUCAAUAGUCUAUUCGAGCAAUUUUAAAUGACGAUAGGUGGUUGUUAGCCAAAAUUGACCGAAAUUGCUAUAUUGGUAAAUCUUCAAAAGUUUAGAAUUGAAUUAACAAAUUGAAAUUUUUUGAUUGAAUUUGCAUUUAUAUAUUAAGCUUGAGACUUAAAAAGAAAAAUCUCAUGUGCAUCGGUGGAGAAUCCGAAUGCGGUGUCAUAUCUUUUCAUUUGAAAUGUCAAUGUUUGAUACGCAUGCUGUGUUAAGCUGUAUAACGACAUGAAAACCAAAGUCCGUACAUCAUAUCUGGAAAGAUUUCGAUCGGCUAAGGACAAAUACCCAGUUAUUAUCCUACAUGGGAAAUCCGCCAACCGCGCGGUGGCAAGUCAAUGAUUUCAUCUCAAGGAUUGACCACCGAGGUGGCCAGAGCAGCACCUCACAUUUGGCUUUUGUAGAAGAAGAAUCAAAGCGCUUUUCUUUUUGGUAUAUCUAUGAUGAUGAUGAUAUUAUUAUUAUUAUUAUUAUUAUUAUUAUUAUUAUUAUUAUUAUUAUUAUUAUUAUUAUUAUUGAUCUAAUUCUCACGCACUCAAUAUAAUAUUCACACAUACCACGAGGACAUCUAGAGGACCGCAUGCACAUACGUAAGGUAUUCAUUUAUUUAUUCUUGGGUUUCCACGUUGUCUCUUCCUUUUUCUCCUUUUUCUUUUUUCAUUUUUAUAUUCCUUAGAAAUUAGCAGCCCCUUUAGAAGAAGCCUCUAUUCAAGGGGAAGAAAAGGUCGUCCCGGACUCCCCCAUCAUUGAGGUUCCACUAAAAUGACCAUUAAUUCAGGUUUUAAAUUCAAAGAGAUGAUCUCAGGUACCAACUCCUAACAAAAAAAUUAAAUUGGUCUAUACCAUGGUUUUGAUAAUUCAAACAUGAAUGUUUGUCUAAGGGAGAACCAUCACUUCAACGGGUUGCUUAUUAAACUCUCUUUUGAACUUAUCGUGGAAUCAAGCUGAAUUUCAGAUGAUGACAACAAGAGCAUAUGCAGGUGCAUGGUGCUUGCAUGUAUCUUUGCGAUAUAUGGGAAAUUGGGCCAUUUGCAUGAAAAAGUUGUAGGUGCUUCUUACUUUCUUAGUUUGCUAUUGAAAGCACACGGAAAUCGAAAACCAUGGAGAAGUCUAUCAAGUGACUAAACUUGAUUAAUUUGUAGAGCAUGGCACCUGGAGUUAGGCGUAUCGUCGGUUUUGAAUUUCAACUGGUUGUUUAUUAAACUCUCUUUUGAACUUAUCGUGGAAUCAAACUGAAUUUCAGAUGAUGGCAUCAAAAACAUGUACAAGUCGCCACGCCUGCGUGUAUAUUUGCGAUAUAUGGAAAUGGAAAUCAAAAUCGGGCCACUUGCAUGGAAAAAGUUGGAAUUGCUUUUUACUUUCUUAGUUGGCUAUUGAAAGCACACGGAAAUUGAAAACUAUGGAGAAGUCCAUCAAGUGACUAACCUUGAUUAAUCUGUAGAGUUAGGCGUACCGUCGGUCUUGAAUUUUCCAUAUGCAUCGUGAUGGGGGUAUAGAUAAGGGCUUUGCCUAGUAGAGAGGGGUGCGCACGCUAAAUUUUCAGCAUUAAGCUAAAACAUUCUCCUGUGGGUGAUCUAUAGUCUACUGACGCUAGACGCUCUUCUUUUUUCUUUUUCUUUUUUUUUUUUUUUUUUUGGGUGUGAAAUUAAAAAAGAAAAAAGAAGUAAAAGAAGUAAAACUUGUUAGAAACAAUAAUUAUCAAGUUGGAAUGUAGAAAUCAUGUUCAAUGUAUUGUUACUGUGAUUUAAUAUUUGCUUCUUUUCGUUUCUAAUUUGCUAAUAACUUGACAUCCCUUCUAUAGUUAAAAAGGAUUGUGAUAGUUGCGGACGAAGACUUUUGCAUUACAUUGUUUAGGCUGUUCUUUCACAUGCAUUGCUUGUCACUAUAUAGUAAUGAUAUUUUAAAAUGAGCAAUAAACUUACAUCUUAACCCAUAUUUGAUAAGUUGAGUUAUUGCAUGGAUUAGUUAUAUUUAGUAAAUGGAUUUAAAAUAGUAAAGUCUAAGAUAAUAUGGAUAUUAAACAAACUCACAGUUUACUUAAACCAAUUCACCUCUAUGACUCUCUCUCGCCCUUACUGAUCUCGCAAUCACUCACUCCACGUCCUUACCUCAGUUUGCAUAUGAGUUUUCCUAUAUUAGGUAGAACAUGAAAGCGCUUUAACCAUAUGAAUUAGGUUAGAUAGAAAAACGCGUCGGAUCAUUAUGAGUAUCUAAAUUUGUAUUGCAUAAAAAUAAGUCAAAACAACUUAAAUUGGCCAAAUUAGGUCAAUCUAUUUUUCACUCAACCCAAACCCAACCUAAUCCACCCAUUUCACGAGUCUCUAUAAUACUAAGUAUUAGGUUUUUAUCUCUUGUUUCCAACUAUACAAUUUCUUUUUUUUUUUUCUAAAGUAUUAAAGCUCGAUGGUCAGAGUUCUAAUCCUAACCCCAACACAUACUUUUCUUCACGCGUACUUCGAUUUUUGGCAUGCCCACAUUUGUCUACCUUUUCCAUUCUUGUUGUCAUAGAAUCCUCACCAUGUCCUAAAUUGAGGAAUGAAUUAGACUGAAGAAGUAAUUUCGUAGGGAAGUCGACUCAUGCCGUUUGUUGAGAAGAUCGCCUCAAAGUAAAUGGAUUGAUUCGCUUGGAGGAAAUUAAUGUGCAGAUGUCGGUGCGUUUGACAUUUUUUUUUUUUUUUUAAAAUAUCAUUUGUAUUGAAUGACUAAAAGGUAUUUUUAUAUUUCUAUGCAAAUAUUUAAAAAUAAAUGGUUAUCGAUAAAGAAAUUACUUUGUAUUGAUUAAUUAUUUCAUAAAAUAAGCAAUUAUUUUUAAAAUAUAUAUUUUCAGAUUAUUUAUUUUUCACCAAACAAACGGAGUUUGCCUAAUUGUUCGAUUGAUGCUAUUGGUGUUUCUUUUCAAUUCAAUCGUCACGAUAGCAAUAUGAUUAGAUCUUUUUAAAGUCUGAUUCGUUUGCUUUUACGCUAGGAUUUAUAUUUCCUUAAAAGACUUUGAAACCACAUAGCGGUACCUCUCUUGCAUACAUGCUCUUGGGACCACUAUAGUUAAUGCCCAGAUGUGAAGUUGCUUUGGUCACCCCUCCCAACCCAUUUUAAUCUAAAAUAAAAUAUUGACAGAAGGAUAAUAACUCACUCAGCACAUAUCCGAACUUUUGUCCAUCUUAUUAUCAAAUAUCUCAACUUUUUAUUUAUUUGAUCAAGUACCUCAAUUAUUCAAAUUUAACUCAAUAAAAGAUCUCUAGAGAAUAAAUUGUAUUCAUUUCUGUUUUGACUUUUUCAACAACGAAAACCUCUGGCAUAUGAUAUGGCUCGAGUCCUCCACAACUCCAUUAAGCAUUGAUGGAGGAGACUCGUCGUCAAAAGGAACUGCUGAUGAAAAUUCCACUCUGAGAAAGGUACCCACGUAAUUGGAACGGCAGUAGGGAUCCCAGAAGCAAGCAUCUUCACGUACAACCCAUCAAAGCCCCCAAACUCUUCAAACAGCCUUUCAAAUUCCUGGAAUCAUGCAGAAUAACAUUAAAAACCCAAAGAAAUGAAUAAUGCAAAGAAGAAACUAUAAGUUGAAAGAUGCAGUACCUUGAUGUUGACAUGAUAUUCCUUUGUGUCCCCCCUUCAAAGCACCCCAAUCAUGUCUGAAUUGUGCACUGUCUAUAAGCUUCUUGGAUGCAGCAUAAGUUACAGCUACGAGAUCCAUUUCCCACCUAUUUUUCACAUCAUUGUACCUUGUUUUGGACCUCGGUCCAAGAGAAUCUGUUCCUUCAAAGGUGUAAAAAAAUCCAUCAAUCCAAAUUCAGGCGAAGAAGGGGCUGAACUGGAAAAAGAAAAAACAAGGGGGGGCUUUCUAGUCUUUUCAGCCGACGGAGAACCGGUUUCGGGUAGGUCGGUGGAUCCGGACCCGAUGUUUCCAGAAUAAAAAAGAAAACCCUGGAAGCCCUGGAGAAAUUGUCUCCAGUUCACACAGAUCCAGGAGAGAUGUCGACGAUGGGUCCAGAAGAGGUGACAGAAGCGGAAGGAGGAGGAGGAGAGAUGUCGAUGAGGGGUCCGGAAGAAGACAGGGAUGCGAUGAUAGCGGAGGCCAAGCGGUUCGUGGAGAACUACUACAGCACGUUCGACGCGAACAGGGAGGGCUUGGUGAACCUGUACCGGCAACGAUCGGUGCUGAAAAUCGAGGGCCGGAAGAUCCAGGGCAAGGAGGCUAUCCUCGCCAAACUCAUCUCCCUUCCGCAGCCGUGCCACCACGAAUUCCCCGAGAUCAGUUGCUGCACCUAUCGCUUGGCACCCGCAUCGGCAUCGGUCGCCGUGCGCGUCCUGGUCCGCGGCGGGACGUGGUUAGGCGGCAAGAAGGAGGAGGCGGACGCCGCCCUUAUACAGCAGGUCUCUCUCGUUCUCUCUAAGUUAUUAUUUCUUGUCAACGCUUUGCAAUUUCUCUUAUCGAUCAAUCCGUUAAUCAAUCGCAUCGCGCAUAAAUACCGAGAGUACAUCUCAAGCUCCUUGUCUAACGCUCUGGCUGGCUCUGAUUCUUAACCUUCAGAGCUUCAAUCUGGUGCCAGCACGAGGAGGAAGCUUUUACAUAGCUCGACAAUCUGGGAUGCUCUUUGAUCUCAAGAAGCCUCGGUCCGGGGGUCUGUCCUACUGGCUACCGAAACCUCCCUGCUCGGCAGCGCCCUUUCUUGGCCCGUUAUAUCAAAUCCUAUCCUCGGCAUACCCGCCGACGUCGGCUGCCACGGCACCGAGUACGCCUCCGCAUUUCGAACGCCUCAGCAUUUCGAAUCCGAAUGCCACCCAUGAUGAAACUUCCUCCGUCUCUACAGAGACCUGAUGAUAAAACUGUUUUACUUUCAAUGUUCUAGACUCUUGUUUUAUUUUCAAUGUUUUGUUGCACUACUUUUGUGAAUACGUAUUGGAUUCAUGUUCGAAUCCAAGUUCAGCAUAUGUCAUACUGCUCUUAUGAACUGAACUCAGUGGCAGGGCCUUCUAAUUCUCGUGGUAAUAUACUUAAUGUUUCAUGACAUUAGCAGUGAGGAUGUUAAUAUGAUGGAUAAACACUGCUCCUCUCGACAAUACCUCGCCCAUGCUUCUAGAGGAAAUAACUUUUCUUUUAACAUACAAGUUUUAUUUCAUGACUUUAAUAUAGUACAGAUAAUCAUGAGUUAAGAUAAAAAUAAAUAGGGAGCAAUUUACAUUUUGGCCGCCAUCGGCGAAAUGGAAGGUAGACAGAUGACUCUAGGACUCUCUACCAACGAAUUCAGCGGAGCGAGCCGGUCAUUUGACAAGUUGAUUAUGACAUUUUCAGAUAAAUGCAGGAGAAGCGUAUCCUUUUUUUACACCUUUAUUUGAGACUUUGCGGGGCUCCUCCCUUGCAUUGACCGUGCUUAUCCAGCGUCGAGAUUGAUCCGCAUUUGUCCAUUUCACAAUCAUAAAGUGCAUGCAAAAUGGACCGGAGAAGUACUGCAUUACUGUGAUAGUAAAUUGCAGGACUGUCUCCGCCGGUACUUGUGGAUUCAAUCGUGCAAGAAGGGGGGACACCAUUUGCUUCUCAUCAAGCCCCCAACCGUACUGAAUGACCAUUCCUGUCGCCAUCCGUCACAGGUUAUGUAUCUUAAUAUAUAUGUCUACAUGUAUUCACCUUUCGCUGUGAGAGUUUUCUCAUGAAAGGUAAUCUAAGGUAGAGAACAUCGACAAACUUCUCAAAGCAUAAUGUUACAGGACCAACCUCUUGAGUUUGCUUCAGUUCGGAAGAAGAGAGAAAAUUCUUCCCCGGGAGGAAGUAGAAGCUGUGAAGCAACAUCCAAACCAAAGCAAAAUACAAGCUACUUUUCAAGGUAUGAUCUUAGUUCUGAGUUAGCAUUAACAGAGCCUUCACUCCGUGCCUCGGCGAUCUUUGUACAGCCAAUUCCCUGCAAGAAAGGGGUCAAAGUGAACGUCUUUAUAAGACCAAGGGCUCGAAAAUCCCAUAAGGCAUGCAUCUGCAAAUAACUUCUCCUGCGAAGAGGAGAACAAGAACAACCCAGGACACAUGUGGAUACGCUCAAUGUAGCACAAUGAUUAAAUUAAAUCUGCCAAAAUGCUCCAAUGACAGAUAAAGCCAUAAAUAGACAUCUCACGUCAUUGUGUUCGACUGUUUUGAUAUCCCGUUUCAUAUUAAACUCUUGAUCCUUAGAUACGACGGCAAGGAUCAUGGCCAACAAAAGCAUGGGACUGAUUCACUGAGUGCCCAGAUAAAGAAGGUAAUUUAUCAUGUCAAUAGCAUGAAUGGAUGACGGUACCACUGAAUGAAAAGUUCGAUAACGAACAACAUGCCAAUGCACAUAGCUUGAAAAGUGCCAGAAGGAAAAAGCACAAAAAAGAUUGAAAUGGCGAGCUGACAUCCAUGAAGGAUGAUGACAUUCCCUGUUCAGCAGUAGAACAGGACCCCUAAAAUAGGAAUAAGGCACUUGCCGGUACUUGCUCAUGAGCUUAAUAAGGCGCAUGCUAUUUCAUUACGAGAAAGAAAAAGAGGACAAUAACCUGCCACGUACAUGGUUCAAGCCACAAAUUGUCGACAACAUCAGAGUUUGAUAGUCAAAGAGCUAUAAGGCCAUGACCAGCCGCCCAAACAGCAUGAGGGAACUUGGUUUCCUCUGUCCACUUUCAAAUCGUCCAUAUUAUGCAAGUCACCUCAAAGAAACCAACGGAACUUGUACGCAUAACGAUAUCAUCGUUUGCUCGCUGGUCCGGGUAUAUCAAGUUAGCUAAAAUUUUAGAACAAUGAUUCUUAUCUGAUAACCCUACCACCUUCUAUUUUUAACCACUGAAUUUGUUGUACUCCCGAUUCUUUAGAGUGCGCAAAAAAUAAAACAGCAGAAAUUUAUAGAUUAGAAUUUUGUCAAUUUUUAGAAUUGUUCGGAAGACAAUAGCCCGGGAUAGUCCAACAAACUAAUAGUAAGCAUCAAGGAGAAUUAAUUGAGCAUAACUCCAUUGUUUAUUUGGCCGUACGGUUCAAUUAGAUCAACGACAUUCUGUGUGUCCUCCUCAGUCAAUGUCAGCCCCAGAUGAUUCACCAGCAUUCGGCUAAUCUGCCUCACAACUUUCGUUUGCCGAAUCCAUUUAGGAACCAUAUUGCUCAAGGCCUAUGCAAAAUAAUGAGCGAAUAAUAUGCAUAUGGUAUAAAAUAUAUCACAUAAUGGGUAACCGCUCCAACCUCCAAAACUUCCAUUUUUACUCUCCUCCGAGAAUGAGAUUAGAGCACAAAGUCCCGGUGCUUAUUGGUUUUAGCAAAGAGAAAAUGAUCGAUUCAAGCAGAACUGAAUUUUGCUUCCCCUUACUCUUCGUCAAUUAUAAUUUAUGUUCCCUUUCCUCUGAACAAAAGAAAAAGGGACAUGCAGCCAGUUCCAUGGACCCCCGGGAAUCGGAUCGGGCAAAUCCGAAUCCAAAGCCGAAUAGGUUGGUUCCCAAUUUCACAAACUAGGACCCAGCCCCGUCUGGUCAAGUUCCCGGUUCCGGAGUGGGCCAAUUUAGCUCAGAAUCUACCCAUAAUCGGGUUCAAACAGUUCAGAGAAAAUUCAAAAUAACUUGGAAUUACCACCGCUCAAAGUUAGAAAAUCAAUCGUCAAAAAAAGUUAAAAAAUCAACAUCCCACUGAGAACCUUUCAGAUCAUCAUGUAACGUCAACUGAAAACACAUUAGAUCAGAUCUAACGUAUUGUCUUCACUGACAUGUGCCGACUUUUGCCAACAAAUUGGAAGACGUUUAAUCCCCUUAAUCCCCUCGAUUUCUUCCUCGAUUCAAAAAUCUUCAAUCGGAAUUUAACUUUAUCAAUUCGCAAAGUUUCCAAAUCCAAUGGGGUGUCGGAACUUGUUCGGAGGUCUUGUGAGCAUGCAUCAAUCCCCGUUAGAUAUCAGAAUGAGGAGUCCAACAAGAGAAUACAGCUGAAAUCCAAGCGCCUCAAUUCUCAAGUCAAAUAUAAGCUAUCCAGAACUGCAAAUCCACCAGCGACUCCACCUUCAUGUGAUGAUGAUAUCUUUGUUCUCAUUAAAUAACCACACUGUUCAUUUACGAUGACAUUCUCUUUCUUCCUGGUAAGAUCAAUCUCAGAUUACCAUGAGCACAUCAAAUGCAUUUACAAACAUUGUCGCUGAAUUCACUAGUGCUAACACGUGCGAACAACGGUGCUGUAGAAGGCAUGAAAUAAAUUAAAAACAGAAGCUUUGGUUAUCAGAUUUUCCCAUCCGACUCCAACUGCAAAGAUUAAAUUCCAAGUCAUUGAUUUUAAUUAAUCCGAGAUCACAUCCAUCAAACUAAUGAGAGAUGGAGCGACAUCAAAAAAUUACCUCACAUAAGCACCAUAUACCCCGAGUUCUGACAUGGCGUGAUCUUUAUAACAAAUGCCAUCACGAAUGAGAGUUGUGGGAGAAAUGGACGGAAAAAUUCUUUGCAUAAGGAUAUAGGCAGCAUCCUCCUCACUACCUUCACGUUGCAGCCUUAAUAGGGUUUCUCUCACGUCGUCGCCAUAGAUGUUGUUCCCUAAAGAGAGAAAUGACUUCAUUUUAGAAAGAAGAUAGCGCGGCUUAUAACAAAGCAAUCCUUGAAUAAUAUAAUCAAGGUGAGAGAUAAUUACCUCCCCCUUCCCUCUGGGGCUUCAUGACAAAUAGCUCGGGACUUUCAAUUGCUUUACCAACAAUAUGAGGGUCUUCUAAGCUCCAUAAACCUGCAAAGGAUUUCUGGAUCUCGGCAAUGUCUUCUUUGUUCUCAAGGAAUCUGAUAUAUGCACCAAUGGAGUCUCGUAAGUGAUCAAACACGUAGGAGAUAGAGUCUAUUCGACAGUGCAUCUUCUCCUGUAAUUAAAUUGACUUCUAAUGUUCCCAUCGAUAUGUUAUCGAGACUGUUCGGUAAGACAUAUGGAAGGAGCUAAAAUGGCCAUUUGGUAUUAAAAGUAGUCCUUAAUUCGCAGUCCUGGGUGCCAUUGAUUACAUCUAAGCUUCAAACUCAACUAAACAUCAUCAUAUUAGCUAUUGUUGUAUGCAUAGCACACAUCUAUAUACAUUUGUGCUUCAGGAGUUUUUCCAGGAAUGGUACGAUUCCAUAUAAAGCACAGAGGAUGAAGAAAUGUGAUCUGUUGAACAAAAUAUAUCACCUUUCAAGUACAUUAGGUUUUGCAAGUUCUUGCUGAAUCUUUUUCGUGCCGGCUAAAUGAUAAGAUAUGGAUGGGCACUUAAUUGCAGAUGACUCUUCCGUAAGUAGCCUUGCUCUCCAUUCCUACAAUACAGCAAGAAACAAAACUUAAGUCACACCUUUCAAGCAUUGACCCAGGGCUUAAGAUUUCCGCACUUCUUACUAUUUUAUAACAUAGGGUUUUCAAGUGGCACUAAUUUGACGCCUGUCAACUUCUUGAGGUUGUGUGAAGAAUGGAUUUCAUAUUUCCUCUUAUUGGUUUCUUUCCAUUCCCUCUGUUUACUUACUUUGUGGAUAAUCAUUUAUUUGCCUUCCACCCAGAAAUUUUUUUAAGUUGAUGAUAUUUUCUGGAACAAAGUCCACUUUUUCCAUAACCAAUUGGACAAACUUGGUUAUUUGGAGGAAAUGUCAUGAUUACAUUGUUUAGUAUUCUUUUACAUCGCAUAAUGCUAUAUGUUUUGAACAUGAAGUCAAUUGUUUAGCCAAGCUUGGCUUACGAAUGUUCAUAUGUACAUUAUCAAGUAUUGUUCAUUGUGGCCAGUCUCAUGGAAUUAUGAUAUAGUAAUGAGGGAAUCCUAACAAUCAAAAUGUGCAGGAAAUAGAGAAGUAUAUUAUAAUCAUGAAUCUAACAGAAAUAAUCGACUUGCAUAAAACAUCAUGAUGAUACUAAUAAUUGUUCUAUUCAGUCAUCAAGACAUAUAAAAGCGAAUCUUUAUGAAAACUAGAGUAAGGAUGCAGUCACUAUAACAUUGUAAGAAAUGCUGCCACAGAAAUAUUUUAUGAGAAGAAUAAAACCCGCCUCAAACGCGGGAUUUUCACUAGUAUGGUAAUAAAACAUAUCUAUAAAGAAAGCAUCUGGUAAAGCUAAAAUGGAAGGAGAAAUUUUCUGAAAAUUAAUCACAGCUACAGUCAAUAUUUCAAGGAAGACAAUCUUCUCUUAGUUGCUAUUAGCUAAUUAUUAGGAUAAGGCUUAAGGAUGUACCGAUUCUGAAGGAUAAUCAUUUGGGGUAUACCCGGCUCUAAAAUAAAUAGCUGCUACAGGGACUCCACCUCUUGCAAUAGCAAAUCUUCAUUAUGUAAGUGAAACGUGCAUGUAAAGCCAAAGUUCAACAAGAUAAACUAGAGAUGUCAGCAACUACAUACACAAGUAACGUCCCAUCAGGCUGAAGUUCCCCCUCUGCAUCAAUUUCUGCUAAGGUCUUCCGAAUAGACCUCACAUUAUGUGUGUUAUAUAAUUAAGGAAGCAUCCAAAGCAAAUUAUGGACAUGAAGAGACUGAUGGACAGAAAUAGAGAACUUUAUAGUUUGGAAAGCAGAUUUUUGGACGCAGAGCAUCAUAGCAGAUAGAUGUAGAAUCCAAGAAAUGAUCUAAGAGAGACAAAGAGAGAUAAUCACAGAUAUAACCUACCCUUCUGAUAUCUCAAAACAAUCGCUAGUAUAUAGAAGGAUAUCUUUCGCUCACGACAGAGCUAAGCCAGUGCAGGUCGUACAUAUUUCGUUCCUCUGUCUGAACCACAACCAGAACAGUGGCCCUGUUAAAAGUAAUCAAUUGUAAUCAGGUCUUAAUGAAAUAUACUCCACAUAUGCAGACCUAUGAAUAAAAAAAAGAAAAGAAGACGACCAUAAUUAUUUUGCAAUUCUUACUUUGGGUUAUUGAACUCGAUCCAAGCUUUGGCCAAGGCCUCUGCAUAAUGACUCACAGCAGCAUUGGUAGGGAUCCUCCUGGGAUCUAACCCAAGAGUUUCGCCAUAAUGGCUGAGCAAGGACCCGUGUCAUUGCCACCUGACGUUAAGAUCAAGCUUUUGGUCUUCUGUGACCAUCUUUGACCGUGCAUGUGAACAGGUGCGUAUGGGCUUAGAGAAAUCACAGGGAAUGUAAGAGUCAGUACAUAUGACCAACCUAACCUGUGGAGCUCACUAACAAGACAGCCAAGACCCGGAAAUGAGGAUGAUAUGGUGUUCAGUUCUAUCUGAAGCAGUAACUUCGUUUGUUCAUCAAGCGUAUAAUCCGAUUGAUGCAAACCCAGUCGUAUCUCCUGUGGAGAAUUGAGAGAGCAAAAUUAUGGGGUUUAGCACACUAAUCAUAUUCAGCAAUCAGCAUAUUUUUCUUCCAGACGAGGAAAGCAGCCAAUCAAAGUGACAUGAACUUGAAAAGCCAGUUUUAAUACACUAUUGCAACCAAACUUAAGGUAAAGCUUUCACAAAAUUCUAAAUUUAUGAACUUACAUCUUUUUUAUUAAUUUCCAUCAUCUUGGAAUGGAUAUCUACGAGUCGAGAGGUGAAAGCAUCCACCUCUUUUGUUCUGCAAUGAGAAGAAGUUACAUCAUGUAAUUCAACAGUAAGUUCGGACUUGCUUCACCAAUGCGACAACUAAAAGCCGGACUACAAAAAUACCAUUGAUUGCAAGGAAGGUAGAAGGGCUCAUAAUUUCCAAAAUACUAGGUUAUGAGAAAAAUAGAAGAGCUAAAAGGAGUUGAAUUUUUCAUAAGCUAAGAAACAACCAAGAGCAUAUGAUACAAGCCAAAGCAGAGUGAGAAUUGAAUCAGACCUAAGAAUUCACAUGAAACAAUGGUCUUAAUCUUCUUGAAUUGGACACUAUAUGCUUAUAGCAUAAACUACAUGCCGUAUUCGACCAAAAGAAGAAAAAAAAAAAAAACUACAUGCUGCAGACAUAUAGAUAAAGCAGAAUAAAUACCUGGAUAAUGAAUCUUGUAAAAACUUUCCAUCCAAACUCACACGAUCGACAAGCUCAUUGAAAAUAGGAGCUAAUUCGCAAGCCUCCCUAAACUGACUCUCGGGAAUGAGAUGGGCAACAAAGCAAACGGAGCAUGCAUCAGACCGACACCAGGUGCUUUUCCUGAUCUCUGCAACACAUACGCAUAAAUACCAUUAUCAGUCAAACUGUAGAAUUAAACAACCCAGAUCAAAUUCGACAGGAAACUCCAUAAACAGCACAUCAGAAAGUCGCAUAUUCCAAGUCAUUGAUUUUGAUUAAUCAGAGAUCACAUCCAUCAAACUAAUGAGAGAUGGAGUGACAUCAAAAAAUUACCUCACAUAAGCACCAUAUACCCCGAGUUCUGACAUGGCGUGAUCUUUAUAACAAAUGCCAUCACGAAUGAGAGUUGUGGGAGAAAUGGACGGAAAAAUUCUAUGCAUGAGGAUAUAGGCAGCAUCCUCCUCACUCCCUUCACGUUGCAGCCUUAAUAGGGUUUCUCUCACAUCGUCGCCAUAGAUGUUGUUCCCUAAAGAGAGAAAUGACUUCAUUUUAGAAAGAAGAUAGCGCGGCUUAUAACAAAGCAAUCCUUGAAUAAUAUAAUCAAGGUGAGAGAUAAUUACCUCCCCCUUCCCUCUGGGGCUUCAUGACAAAUAGCUCGGGACUUUCAAUUGCUUUACCAACAAUAUGAGGGUCUUCUAAGCUCCAUAAACCUGCAAAGGAUUUCUGGAUCUCGGCAAUGUCUUCUUUGUUCUCAAGGAAUCUGAUAUAUGCACCAAUGGAGUCUCGUAAGUGAUCAAACACGUAGGAGAUAGAGUCUAUUCGACAGUGCAUCUUCUCCUGUAAUUAAAUUGACUUCUAAUUUUCCCAUCGAUAUGUUAUCGAGACUGUUCGGUAAGACAUAUGAAUGGAGCUAAAAUGGCCAUUUGGUAUUAAAGGUAGUCCUUAAUUCGCAGUCCUGGGUGCCAUUGAUUACAUCUUAGCUUCAAACUCAACUAAACAUCAUCAUAUUAGCUAUUGUUGUAUGCAUAGCACACAUCUAUAUACAUUUGUGCUUCAGGAGUUUUUCCAGGAAUGGUACGAUUCCAUAUAAAGCACAGAGGAUGAAGAAAUGUGAUCUGUUGAACAAAAUAUAUCACCUUUCAAGUACAUUAGGUUUUGCAAGUUCUUGCUGAAUCUUUUUCGUGCCGGCUAAAUGAUAAGAUAUGGAUGGGCACUUAAUUGCAGAUGACUCUUCCGUAAGUAGCCUUGCUCUCCAUUCCUACAAUACAGCAAGAAACAAAACUUAAGUCACACCUUUCAAGCAUUGACCCAGGGCUUAAGAUUUCCGCACUUCUUACUAUUUUAUGACAUAGGGUUUUCAAGUGGCACUAAUUUGACGCCUGUCAACUUCUUGAGGUUGUGUGAAGAAUGGAUUUCAUAUUUCCUCUUAUUGGUUUCUUUCCAUUCCCUCUGUUUACUUACUUUGUGGAUAAUCAUUUAUUUGCAUUCCACCCAGAAAUUUUUUUAAGUUGAUGACAUUUUCUGGAACAAAGUCCACUUUUUCCAUAACCAAUUGGACAAACUUGGUUAUUUGGAGGAAAUGUCAUGAUUACAUUGUUUAGUAUUCUUUUACAUCGCAUAAUGCUAUAUGUUUUGAACAUUAAGUCAAUUGUUUAGCCAAGCUUGGCUUACGAAUGUUCAUACGUACAUUAUCAAGUAUUGUUCAUUGUGGCCAGUCUCAUGGAAUUAUGAUAUAGUAAUGAGGGAAUCCUAACAAUCAAAAUGUGCAGGAAAUAGAGAAGUAUAUUAUAAUCAUGAAUCUAACAGAAAUAAUCGACUUGCAUAAAACAUCAUGAGGAUACUAAUAAUCGUUCUAUUCAAUCAUCAAUACAUAUAAAUGUAAAUCUUUAUGAAAACUAGAGUAAGGAUGCAGUCAUUAUAACAUUGUAAGAAAUGCUGACGCAGAAAUAUUUUAUGAGAAGAAUAAAACCCGCCUCAAACGCGGGAUUUUCACUAGUAUGGUAAUAAAACAUAUCUAUAAAGAAAGCAUCUGGUAAAGCUAAAAUGGAAGGAGAAAUUUUCCGAAAAUUAAUCACAACUACAAUCAAUAUUACCUCCCCCUUCCCUCUGGGGCUUCAUGACAAAUAGCUCGGGACUUUCAAUUGCUUUACCAACAAUAUGAGGGUCUUCUAAGCUCCAUAAACCUGCAAAGGAUUUCUGGAUCUCGGCAAUGUCUUCUUUCUUCUCAAGGAAUCUGAUAUAUGCACCAAUGGAGUCUCGUAAGUGAUCAAACACGUAGGAGAUACAGUCUAUUCGACAGCUCAUCUUCUCCUGUAAUUAAAUUGACUUCUAAUGUUCCCAUCGAUAUGUUAUCGAGACUGUUCGGUAAGACAUAUGAAAGGAGCUAAAAUGGCCAUUUGGUAUUAAAAGUAGUCCUUAAUUCGCAGUCCUGGGUGCCAUUGAUUACAUCUAAGCUUCAAACUCAACUAAACAUCAUCAUAUUAGCUAUUGUUGUAUGCAUAGCACACAUCUAUAUACAGACAAAAUGAGUUUCAGUCUAAUAAAAUGUAAAGCAAAGCUGGGAGCGCUUCAAGCAUCCAGCGCCGCUGCUGGUGGCGCUGUCCUGCCUUCCUCCAUAUCCGGGAGCCCCACUUUCUCCAGUAGUGCCUGAAACUGGGAUCGGUCCUCCUCCUCCUCCAUCCAUCCUCCUCCUCCGCUGCCUGUCCUUCAUCCAUGGCAUCUGGUUCCGUACGGAAGACGGAAAAUACAAGGGUUGCUCCCUGCUGUGCUGUCAUUUGCAGAAUAAAACUCUAGAGCAAAACACAAAUCAGUAUUCUUCCUAUUCCCAAAAAAAAGGCACAGCAAAAGAAAAGAGAAUACAUGGUUGAAGUUGUAUGGUAGCACAACGUCCUCUUCCCUCCCAUACUGUCCACCAAAGGAGGCGUAGAUGCGUUGAGCGACGUGGUCAACGAACGCAUCGAACUCAUCCAAAUGGAACUUGAAUCUAUCCAAACCGUUCACAAACGCAGCAAUGGCCUCCGGGGUCCCAAGACGGACCCCAUCAAAAUCCAUGCACGCUUCAUCAUAAAAGCUUAUCAGCUCUUGCCUAUCCCUUGCCAAAAUAUCAUGGUAUAACACACCCCAACCUGCCGCCAUGUCUUUGAGUCUUUCAUCAUCCAUACCUCUGUUCUGUUCAAGAACAAUAGGUGCAAAUAACGUACGCAUAAAGAAAAAAAGGAAAAAAAAAAAAAUGGCAGAGCUCGACCUCAUUUCCACAUACUGACCUGUCGACGACGCUCGAAGGGAAAAAGACGGUGGAGCCUCACCGCGAUCGCCGUCCGACGUUUGCAGAGAUUCGACGACGAAAUGAGAGAGCGGGGCGGUAUUCUGUUUAGGAUGACCGAGAAAUGGGUUUUCUCUUCCACCAAUCAGAGUUUUAAAUUUGGGAAAACACGUUUCGCGACGUCGUUUAUACUAUGUAUGCGGAGUUAGAGCAUGGGUGAGCCAAGUCAGAUUGAAAAAAAAAAAAAAUUGAUAAAAUAUUACUUAUUUUGAAUUUUCAACUAUUCAAAUCAAAGUUAACACUUGAAGUGAAUCAAUAAAGCUACAUCUACCACCACCGCCCGGCCACCAAUCUUUCCUUACACGAGAUACGAGAUUCGAGAUUGGACAGGAUAAUUCCUACUCGCCGACAUUAGACAACUCUCAAAUGGAUGAACUGGCAUUGGAUAGAGCCGUCUGAUUGGGGCAUUUUUCUGCUUCUAGGGUUUGUGUGUGGAAAUCGAACUUACUUAAAUUGUGAAGAUGUUUAAACCAAUUCGAAUUUGUGAAAGAUAUUUCUGCUUCUAGGGUUUGUGUGUGGAAAUCAAACUUACUUAAAUUGUGAAGAUGUUUAAACCAAUUCGAAUUUGUGAAAAACACGUACACAUCAGCAUUCAAAGUCCCCCUCAAAUUUAGUCGCGAUAUUUCUAUUAAUCAAGAUAAUAUAUAUAAUGAUUUCCCAAAAAUAGUCAUAAAACUUAUUACAAGGAUACCAAUUCAGUCUAAAAUUUUUCAAUUUGCUUAAUUUAGUCCUAACCUUUUAUUAAGAUUUGUCAAUAGUCUAUUCGAGCAAUUUUAAAUGACGAUAGGUGGUUGUUAGCCAAAAUUGACCGAAAUUGCUAUAUUGGUAAAUCUUCAAAAGUUUAAAAUUGAAUUAAUACAUUGAAAAAUUUUGAUUGAAUUUGCAUUUAUAUAUUAAGUUUGAGACUUAAAAAGAAAAAUCUCAUGUGCAUUGGUGGAGAAUCCGAAUGCGGUGUCAUAUCUUUUCAUUUGAAAUGUUAAUGUUUGAUACGCAUGCUGUGUUAAGCUGUAUAACGACAUGUAAACCAAAGUCCGUACAUCAUAUCUGGAAAGAUUUCGAUCGGCUAAGGACAAAUACCCGGUUAUUAUCCCACAUGGGAAAUCCGCCAACCGCGCGGUGGCAAGUCAAUGAUCUCAUCUCAAGGAUUGACCGCCGAGGUGGCCAGAGCAGCACCUCACAUUUGGCUUUUGUAGAAGAAGAAUCAAAGCGCUUUUCUUUUUGGUAUAUCUAUGAUGAUGAUGAUAUUAUUAUUAUUAUUAUUAUUAUUAUUAUUAUUAUUAUUAUUGAUCUAAUUCUCACGGACUCAAUAUAAUAUUCACACAUACCACGAGGACAUCUAGAGGACCGCAUGCACAUACGUAAGGUAUUCAUUUAUUUAUUAUUGGGUUUCCACGUUGUCUCUUCCUUUUUCUCCUUUUUCUUUUUUCAUUUUUAUAUUCCUUAGAAAUUAGCAGCCCCUUUAGAAGAAGCCUCUAUUCAAGGGGAAGAAAAGGUCGUCUCGGACUCCCCCAUCAUUGAGGUUCCACUAAAAUGACCAUUAAUUCAGGUUUUAAAUUCAAAGAGAUUGUCUCAGGUACCAACUCCUAACAAAAAAAUUAAAUUGGUCUAUACCAUGAUUUUGAUAAUUCAAAGAGAUUGUCUAAGGGAGAACCAUCACUUCAACGGGUUGCUUAUUAAACUCUCUUUUGAACUUAUCGUGGAAUCAAACUGAAUUUCAAAUGAUGACAACAAGAGCAUGUGCAGGUGCAUGGUGCUUGCAUGUAUCUUUGCGAUAUAUGGGAAAUUGGGUCAUUUGCAUGAAAAAGCUGUAGGUGCUUCUUACUUUCUUAGUUUGCUAUUGAAAGCACACGGAAAUCGAAAACCAUGGAGAAGUCUAUCAAGUGACUAAACUUGAUUAAUCUGUAGAGCAUGGCACCUAGAGUUAGGCGUAUUGUCGAUCUUGAAUUUCAACGGGUUGUUUAUUAAACUCUCUUUUGAACUUAUCGUGGAAUCAAACUGAAUUUUAGAUGAUGGCAUCAAGAAUAUGUGCAAGUCGCCACGCUUGCGUGUAUAUUUGCGAUAUAUGGAAAUGGAAAUCAAAAUCGGGCCACUUGCAUGGAAAAAGUUGGAAUUGCUUUUUACUUUCUUAGUUGGCUAUUGAAAGCACGUGGAAAUUGAAAACUAUGGAGAAGUCCAUCAAGUGACUAACCUUGAUUAAUCUGUAGAGUUAGGCGUACCGUCGGUCUUGAAUUUUCCGUAUGCAUCGUGAUGAGGGUAUAGAUAAGGGCUUUGCCUAGUAGAGAGGGGUGUGCACGCUAAAUUUUCAGCAUUAAGCUAAAACAUUCUCCUGUGGGUGAUCUAUAGUCUACUGACGCUAGACGCCCUUCUUUUUUCUUUUUUCUGGGUGUGAAAUUAAAAAGAAAAAGAAAAAAAGAGAAGUAAAACUUGUUAGAAACAAUAAUUAUCAAGUUGGAAUGUAGAAAUCAUGUUCAAUGUAUUGUUACUGUGAUUUAAUAUUUGCUUCUUUUCGUUUCUAAUUUGCUAAUAACUUGACAUCCCUUCUAUAGUUAAAAAGGUUGUGAUAGUUGCGGACGAAGACUUUUGCAUUACAUUGUUUAGGCUGUUUUUUCACAUGCAUUGCUUGUCACUAUAUAGUAAUGAUCUUUUAAAAUGAGCAAUAAACUUAUAUCUUAACCCAUAUUUGAAAAGUUGAGUUAUUGCAUGGAUUAGUUAUAUUUAGUAAAUGGAUUUAAAAUAGUAAAGUCUAAAAUAAUAUGGAUAUUAAACAAACUCACGGUUUACUUAAACCAAUUCACCUCUAUGACUCUCUCUCGCCCUUACUAAUCUCGCAAUCACUCACUCCACGUCCUUACCUCAGUUUGCAGAUGAGUUUUCCUAUAUUAGGUAGAACAUGAAAGCGCUUUAACCAUAUGAAUUAGGUUAGAUAGAAAAACGCGUCAGAUCAUUAUGAGUAUCUAAAUUUGUAUUGCAUAAAAAUAAGUCAAAACAACUUAAAUUGGCCAAAUUAGGUCAAUUUAUUUUUCACUCAACCCAAACCCAACCUAAUCCACCCAUUUCACGAGUCUCUAUAAUACUAAGUAUUAGGUUUUUAUCUCUUGUUUCCAACUAUACAAAUUUUUUUUCUAAAGUAUUAAAGCUCGAUGGUCAGAGUUCUAAUCCUAACCCCGACACAUACUAUUCUUCACGCGUACUUCGAUUUUUGGCAUGCCCACAUUUGUCUACCUUUUCCAUUCUUGUUGUCAUAGAAUCCUCACCAUGUCCUAAAUUGAGGAAUGAAUUAGACUGAAGAAGUAAUUUCGUAGGGAAGUCGACUCAUGCCGUUUGUUCAGAAGAUCGCCUCAAAGUAAAUGGAUUGAUUCGCUUGGAGGAAAUUGAUGUGCACUUGUCGGUGCGUCUAACAUUUUUUUUUUUAUAAAUAUCAUUUGUAUUGAAUGACUAAAAUAUAUUUUUAUUUUUCUAUGCAAAUAUUUAAAAAUAAAUGGUUAUCGAUAAAGAAAUUACUUUGUAUUGAUUAAUUAUUUCAUAAAAUAAGCAAUUAUUUUUAAAAUAUAUAUUUUCAGAUUAUUUAUUUUUCACCAAACAAACGGAGUUUGCUUAAUUGUUCGAUUGAUGCUAUUGGUGUUUCUUUUCAAUUCAAUCGCCUCGUCAACAAUCUCCUCUGACCCCUUAACGAACCCCUCUCUCUCUCUUCAAUUCCCUCACCUCCUCGCACGUACCCCGCCCGCAUUGUCUCCUCCUCCUGCAAUUGCCGUUUUUCCAAUUUCACCGCCUUCAUCGCCACCUCCACCUCCUCGAUACGCCCCUCCCCUCUCCUAAUCUCAUCCAUCCAUCUCAGAACCACCGAAACCUUCUCCAGCAAUCUCUCCGUGCAAUUCCAAUACUCGUGCCCUUUCACUUCCGACCGCUCCUCAAUUCUCUCCAAAUUCAGCCGUAGCGGUGGCGAAGAAGGGGCUGAACUGGAAAAAGAAAAAACAAGGGGGGGCUUUCUAGUCUUUUCAGCCGACAGAGAACCGGUUUCGGGUCGGUCGGUGGAUCCGGACCCGAUGAUUCCAAAAUAAAAAAGAAAACCCUGGAAGCCCUAGAGAAAUUGUCUCCAGUUCACACAGAUCCAGCAGGAGGAGGAGGAGGAGGAGGAGGAGGAGAGAUGUCGACGAUCGGUCCAGAAGACGUGACAGAAGCGGAAGGAGGAGGAGGAGGAGAGAUGUCGAUGGUGGGUCCGGAAGAAGACAGGGAUCCGAUGAUAGCGGAGGCCAAGCGGUUCGUGGAGAACUACUACAGCACGUUCGACGCGAACAGGGAGGGCUUGGUGAACCUGUACCGGCAACGAUCGGUGCUGAAAAUCGACGGCCGGAAGAUCCAGGGCAAGGAGGCUAUCCUCGCCAAACUCACCUCCCUUCCGCAGCCGUGCCACCACGAAUUCGCCGAGGUCAGUUGCGGCACCUAUCGCUUGGCACCCGCAUCGGCAUCGGUCGCCGUGUCCGUCCUGGUCGGGGGCGGGACGUGGUUAGGCGGCAAGAAGGAGGAGGCGGACGCCGCCCUUAUACAGCAGGUCUCUCUCGUUCUCUCUAAGUUAUUAUUUCUUGUCAACGCUUUGCAAUUUCUCUCAUCGAUCAAUCCAUUAAUCAAUCGCAUCGCGCAUAAAUACCGAGAGUACAUCUCAAGCUCCUUGUCUAACGCUCUGGCUGG